GUAGCAAACUAUACAGAAAGGGAAAAAGAAAGUGUGAAAACAAAGAAGCGGUGUCUACAUACUAUACCAAGACAAGGAUGGGUAUCUCGGGCAAUUGGAACGUUGACAAUGAGGCUUUGUAACAACACCGAUUUGUGGCCCUGGAAACUGCCCAUUAAUCAAGAUUCCCUGCAAAGCUAAUCUACCAGGAAAAUAAGGGGAAAAAAAUCACUUCCUAAACUAAAAAAGCCUGUAUACUCAUUCGAAAUACAAGAAAAGUGCUUGCUUUGCAGGAACAGUAUAAAACAAAACCAACAAAACAUAGCAUAAACAUAGUACGUGCCUGUUGCUUAACUCCAAGAGGAUAGACGUCGCCAUAAAUGACUUUUCACGUAAAGAACCUAUAAGCGUUAUCGCCAUUAAUGCCGCGAAUAAGAAAGAAUAAGAGGAGAAAGAGCCCCGCAAUU
Molecule: long non-coding RNA, 446 nt
Filed under: Manihot esculenta (cassava)
Lineage: Eukaryota; Viridiplantae; Streptophyta; Magnoliopsida; Malpighiales; Euphorbiaceae
Description: long non-coding RNA (MESC_LNC010251)
Source: RNAcentral